UACGGAGGGAGCAAGCGUUACUCGGAAUUAUUGGGCGUAAAGGGCGCGUAGGUGUUUGAGAAAGUCUUGUGUGAAAGCCCAGAGCUUAACUCUGGAAGUGCACAAGAUACUGCUCGAAUUGAGUUCCGGAGAGGAAGGCAGAAUUCCCGGUGUAGCGGUGAAAUGCGUAGAUAUCGGGAGGAAUACCAGUGGCGAAGGCGGCCUUCUGGACGGAUACUGACACUGAGGCGCGAAAGCUAGGGGAGCAAACGGG
RNAcentral lists this ribosomal RNA (253 nucleotides) under uncultured bacterium. RNAcentral describes it as "partial 16S ribosomal RNA". It matches the Rfam family "Bacterial small subunit ribosomal RNA", at positions 524 to 776 of the family's 1533-position model. The record is from RNAcentral.